UACGUAGGGUGCGAGCGUUAAUCGGAAUUACUGGGCGUAAAGCGUGCGCAGGCGGUUGUGCAAGACAGAUGUGAAAUCCCCGGGCUUAACCUGGGAAUUGCAUUUGUGACUGCACGGCUAGAGUGUGUCAGAGGGAGGUAGAAUUCCACGUGUAGCAGUGAAAUGCGUAGAUAUGUGGAGGAAUACCGAUGGCGAAGGCAGGCCUCCUGGGCCAACACUGACGCUCAUGCACGAAAGCGUGGGGAGCAAACAGG
Molecule: ribosomal RNA, 254 nt
Filed under: uncultured bacterium
Lineage: Bacteria
Description: partial 16S ribosomal RNA
Rfam family: Bacterial small subunit ribosomal RNA
Source: RNAcentral